GAGAGUUAAACAGUACGUGAAAUUGUUGAAAGGGAAACGAUUGAAGUCAGUCAUACCAACGGGAAAUCAACCUUUUGAGUUUGGUCUCGUGGGUUUUGAAGAGUUUUUAAAAGCCUUCGGAUUUUCGAGAUUGGGUUCUUCUGGUGUACUUUCUCGUACGGUUAGUCAACAUCGGUUUUGAAUGUCAUAAAAUGACUGGAGGAAUGUGGCUUCGAUCUCGUAUUGAAGUGUUAUAGCCUUUGGUAGAUGUGAUGUUCAAGACCGAGGAUUGCAACGGAUACCCUUCUGGGCUAUUCGUCUGAUCUCUGAAACGUUGCCUUGAUGUCGAAAGCUUGCUUAUGAUGUUAGGGUAUUACGAUCAAAAGGUUAGAACGGAUUAAAUUCGUUAAGGAUGUUGACGUAAUGACUUUAAACGA
RNAcentral lists this ribosomal RNA (416 nucleotides) under uncultured Funneliformis. RNAcentral describes it as "partial 28S ribosomal RNA". The record is from RNAcentral. Lineage: Eukaryota; Fungi; Glomeromycota; Glomeromycetes; Glomerales; Glomeraceae.